GACGAACGCUGGAGGCGUGCUUAACACAUGCAAGUCGAACGAUGAAGAAGAGAAACGCGAACUUCGGUUCAAAUUUCACUUAGGAUUAGUGGCAGACGGGUGAGUAACGCGUGAGCAACCUACCUCUUACAAAGGGAUAGCCUCGGGAAACCGUGAUUAAUACCAUAUGACACAUUCAUAAGGCAUCUUAAGAAUGUUAAAGCUACGGCGGUAAGAGAUGGGCUCGCGUCCCAUUAGCUAGUUGGUGAGGUAACGGCCCACCAAGGCGACGAUGGGUAACCGGCCUGAGAGGGUGAACGGUCACAUUGGAACUGAGACACGGUCCAAGCUCCUACGGGAGGCAGCAGUGGGGAAUAUUGCACAAUGGAGGGAACUCUGAUGCAGCGACGCCGCGUGAGCGAUGAAGGAAUUCGUUUCGUAAAGCUCUGUUCUAUGGGAAGAAAAGGACUGUACCAUAGGAGAAAGCCCCGGCUAAAUACGUG
Molecule: ribosomal RNA, 482 nt
Filed under: uncultured bacterium
Lineage: Bacteria
Description: partial 16S ribosomal RNA
Rfam family: Bacterial small subunit ribosomal RNA
Source: RNAcentral